This 491-nucleotide ribosomal RNA is filed under the name uncultured bacterium. Its description in RNAcentral is "partial 16S ribosomal RNA". It matches the Rfam family "Bacterial small subunit ribosomal RNA", at positions 28 to 507 of the family's 1533-position model. The record is from RNAcentral.
GAUGAACGCUCGCGAUAGGCUUAACACAUGCAAGUCGAGGGGUAACGUGUUGGAAGCUUGCUUCCGAUGACGACGACCGGCGGAUGGGUGCGUAACGCGUAUGCAACUUGCCUCACAGUGGAGAAUAACCCGGAGAAAUCCGGACUAAUACUCCAUACACUCUUAAGUACGCCUGUACAUGAGAGGAAAGAUUUAUCGCUGUGAGAUAGGCAUGCGUCCUAUUAGGUAGUUGGUGAGGUAACGGCUCACCAAGCCGACGAUAGGUAGGGGUGCUGGGAGGCAGAUCCCCCACAUUGGGACUGCGACACGGCCCAAACUCCUACGGGAGGCAGCAGUGAGGAAUAUUGGUCAAUGGAGGAAACUCUGAACCAGCCAAGUCGCGUGAAGGAAGAAUGUCCUAAGGAUUGUAAACUUCUUUAGCGAGCGAGUAAGGACUUCCACGUGAUGGGAGUUUGAAAGUAGCUCGAGAAUAAGUAUCGGCUAACUCCGUG